GAUGAACGCUGGCGGCGUGCCUAAUACAUGCAAGUCGAGCGAACAGACAAGGAGCUUGCUCCUCUGACGUUAGCGGCGGACGGGUGAGUAACAAGUGGAUAACCUACCUAUCAUACUGGGAUAACUUCGGGAAACCGGAGCUAAUACCGGAUAAUAUAUUUAACCGCAUGGUUCAUUAGUGAAAGACGGUUUUGCUGUCUCUUCUAGAUGGAUCCGAGCCGCAUUAGCUAGUUGGUAAGGUAACGGCUUACCAAGGCAACGAUGCGUAGCCGACCUGAGAGGGUGAUCGGCCACACUGGAACUUAGACACGGUCCAGACGCCUACGGGAGGCAGCAGUAGGGAAUCUUCCGCAAUGGGCGAAAGCCUGACAAAGCAACGCCGCUUGAGUGAGGAAGAUCUUCGGAUCGUAAAACUCUGUUAUUAGGGAAGAACAAAUGUGUAAGUAACGAAGCACGUCUUGACGGUACCUAGUCAGAAAGCAACGGCUAACUACGUG
Molecule: ribosomal RNA, 497 nt
Filed under: uncultured bacterium
Lineage: Bacteria
Description: partial 16S ribosomal RNA
Rfam family: Bacterial small subunit ribosomal RNA
Source: RNAcentral